UGUUUUUAAACAAUUCCAUUUUAUAAAUAUCAUUUUAUGAAAAUCAUUAUUUAGUACAUUAUUAUUGCAUAAAACAAGGAAAUGUAAGAAACAUUUUAAGAGGUGCCACAUAGCACAAUGGAGGUUUAGAAGCAAUCUAAACUUUGCUUAUAGAGAUUACAUAGAGAUAUAGAUAAAUAGAUGCCANNNNNNNNNNNNNNNNNNNNNNNNNNNNNNNNNNNNNNNNNNNNNNNNCAUUUUAUUUGUGUUUGGACAAUAUAUAAUACAAAAGUUGUAUGUGCAUUAAUUGUAUGUCACGAAUGGUUCUUUUUUCCCUAUCAUAGAAAUUAAAAAGGUCAAAAUAUUAUAAACUAAAUAUGAGAAAAAAUAAUAGUAACAGUAACAACAGUAGUACAUAAAAAAUGAAAUACCACAACAAAAACCACCUAACCACUCCACAAAGUAAGCAAAUACAACCCGCUCAAGAUAUAUCAAACAAAACCCCUAAAAAGCGAAUUUAAUUUACAGUUUGCAAUCUAGAACACGAACUCUUUUUUAUCAUGAAUUUUUUUCAUUCAUAUGGGGGGCUCACAAGUUGAGUUUGAGUAUAAAAUAUUGUCACUCGCUACGCAGAGUACAAACUGAAACACAAAUUGCUAUUUAGAGUGUGAACCCUUUACACUUUAAAUAGUGUACCUUAUAAAAAUAUGACCACUAUCAUUUAUCAUAUUUUAAUUUGCCACUGGAACGGUUGUGACAUUAUCAACAAACCCACACACACAUCAUAAAUAUAUAUAUAUAUAUAUAUAUUUAAUGAGAGAUGAAAGAAGGAUGAAGAAGACAAAAAAAUUUGAUUUUUAUAAGGUUCGCAUCCUAGAAUGUGAGCUCAGUUUACAGUUUGCUAUCUAGAAAACAAACUCAGUUUGCGGUUUGUUACCUAAAAAGCGAACUAUUUUUUUCUCUCAAUUUUUGCUAUUUACACUGUUGCCUUCUAACUAGCUAGCAAGAGGUGUAAAUUUAGAAUAUUAGAGGACGUGCAUGUAAAUCGGGAGUGCGAAAAGCAAAACUCAACCAUUCAAUAUAAAAAUAUUGCUCUUAAAAUAUUUUUUGGCACAUUUAAUUUUUUUUAAAGUCAAAUAGUUAUAUUUUAUAAUAUAAUUCUACUUGUAGAUUUCUUAACAUAUAUCAUGCGUUAAUAGUUCCAUCAAAUUAUUAUAGACAAAACGAGAUAACUUUUCAACUAACCUAUUCUGCAGUAACAUAAUUUAUUAAGACACUUUCCAAUUUGCGGAGGGGUACAUAAUUUAUCUUGACAGUGAAAAUCACUCUUGCAUUUAUAACGUACUGCAAUGUGAAAAAUAUAUAAAAGAAAAUGUUAAUGAAAGAUGACGAUUUUAUUUUUGUACAUUGAUAAUUGUUUAAAUAAGAAGAAAACAUCAUUAAUAUAUCAAUGCCAAUUACACUAGUGAAUAAUAAUUCUUACAUAAACACAAAUUCAAAUAAAAAAUAUUUGGACGCAUACACACAAUUGACAAAAAGUUAAAUGUAAAAUAUUUUAGUCAUAGGACUUGAUAUUGUAUUAUUUAAUCAUCUUUUCUUCUAUUUUUUAUUUAGUUUUGUAUGUGUACCUAAAUAAUUUACAUUUAGAGUUGUGCCCAAGUAAAUAUAUCUCACUUAUUUUAUAAAUGUUUUAAGUUGAAUUUAAUUAAAUUUCCUCUUGAUAUUACAAAGUCAAACUGUAACUACAAAUUUUAUUUUGAAUUUGCGUAUAAAAUAAAUAAGAAAAGGAACAGAAAAGGGGCUUACUAAAAUCGCUGGUUACAACAUGAAAUAGCAAAAGAAAAAGGGUCAUCACAUAAACAAACUUUAUAAUUGCAGUCAUAUUUCUCCUCAUUUACAUGUAGUAUAAAAACAAAUUAAAAGUCUAUAAAUCGACCAAUUUAUUUAUAACGUAAAAUCCAUCAUACUCUUAUUAUACUUCAAUUUAAAAAUAAAAAAUAUUUACCAUAUAAAAAUAUUAUUACUUUGUUACAAAUUAACUUUUUUUUUAAUUAAAAUUAUUAUUAAAUGUCUCAAUAAUUAGUACUGAUAGGUCAUCCUUGACCCUUUGUCUCACCGAAGUGGUGAGUUGAACUUUGUAUGAAUCUCACAUUCAAAUCUUGUUGGCAAUCAAAGUUAGUUUAUUUUUUUUAUCAACCUUUUAUUAUUAUUAUUAUUAUUAUUAUUAUUAUUAUUAUUAUUAUUAUUAUUAUUAUUAUUAUUAUUAUUAUUAUUAUUAUUAUUAUUAUUAUUAUUAUUUGUAUUUCUUUUGAUCAUUCAUGAUAGACAAGGGAAACAUACCAAAAUCAGAAGUUUUCAACGAUUGCAAAAUUAAUAGUCGAAGUAAUAUAAAAUUCAGCGACCAUAAUAUUGUAUAUAUGUAAAAUUAUAUUUAAAUUUCUAUACAAUGUGUUGUAUUUUGUGUUACUUGAUUUCUUUUCUUUCAUAAUAUUGACACAAUAUUCCCACCGUUAUUUAACGGUACCUAAUCUCUAUCGUAGAACUCGUGAGUAAUAUGGUAUAUUAUCCUAUUCAGAUUUUUUUAUAAACAUUUCUUGAUAAGAGAUUAAAUUCUUUGACUACUUGCUCAAAUGGUCUAAAUGUCUUACACUACAAGAAUACAUUGAUUUUAUAAUGGAUUUAAUUUAAUCAAAUAGCGGGUAGCACAAUUUUUAACACUAAUAAGAACUAACUAGUUAACAUAUAUGUACACUUCAAUAUUAUUUAUGUUUAUAAUAUUAUAUGAAUCUCUCUUCAAAAAAUUUAUAAUAAUUUUAAUAAAAAAUUAAUCAAAUAUGAAUUUUCAAACACUAAAUUCUCUAUUAUUAAUAAAAAUUUGAGUACCUUGUUUCUAAAAUAUUUUUUCUGAGUACUUUGUCUAAAUGAAUUACAUAUUUUAAUGUAUCUAUAAAUUAUUAAUUAAACUAUUAGUCAAAAAAAAUAAAUUAUUAAACUAUAAAACAGUAAAAGGGAUGCUUCAAAACAAAAUUAGAAGGGAGAUUUGAAUUAUUAAUAUAGGAGAAAAUAAUACCGGGAGGUUAAUUAAGCAAAUUGAGUGAACGGAUUAGGGUUUAAGACAACAACCAGAAACUAUUAGUAUGAACUUCAUAAUUUAGUUAGCGGGGGUUAAAAACAGCUGCAAAGUAGCUUGUAAACCACCGUUUCUAUUCUUAUGAAAUUUUUUAAAUUCAUUAAAAGUACAAUAAAUCUAAAAAGUAUAUUUUUACUUAUAAAGUGACUAUUUUUUUUCCACCUUCCUUUUGCAAUUUAAAGUGUGUUUGCUUUGCAUAUAUGAGAAGUUUUUGUUGGAUAUUUUAUCUAAUAAUUUAUUUUAAAGUUAAUUUAUAUAUAUUAACUAAUUAUUCAUUAUAUACACGUUUCAUAAUUAAAUGGUUGUCUAGUCAAUUAGCUCAUGUUAUUAGUUGCUAUACCAUCGGUUACAAUCUUUAUAAAUAGCAAUCAUGAUUUGGAUUGAAGAAGAGAAGAAUACAACGUAAACAUAUGAGAGUGGAUCUAGGUAUGGCGCGCUUAUAUAUAAUAAGUUUUCUAUACGACAAAACAAUGAAGAGUGGUAAUGAGUAACAUAAGUAGAAUAAUAAAGUUCUCAUGAGCAUUUAAAAGUAGUUCUUGAGACCUUAUUAAUUCACGUGCGGUGCUAGUAAGAAGUGACGAUUGUAUUUUGAAGGGUAUUAGUUAUGAGACCAACUGCACUGGAUAACUUACCUGUGAUGGCGAAAUACUAUUAAGCCCAAUAUAUUUGCAUGCCUCAGUCAAAUCCGAUAAGUUCUUCUUGUUUUCAAUUUUAUUGUAUAGUCUGUAUUAUUUAUUUGUGAUAAUAUUUCUUUAUAUGAGAAUAAUUCCAUAUCAUAUUUUUCCAACAAUCUUAAGAGUAUUUAUGUUGACAUGAAAUUAUGUGUAGAAUUAUCAUUAAUUUUAUUUUGGAACAAAUGAUUUGUUGAUUUUCUCGGUUCAAUCUAUAAGAGCAUGGUGUAAUCAAGUCGAUUGAAGUUUUAAACUUUUCUCCCAUUGAAACCAUCCCCAAGGGACAAGGUACACAUAUUCUAAUAUCUAAACUUCACAAAUCAUAUCUUGUGUUUGUUGAUAUUAUGAUUGUAUGAUGAAUUUCUAUGAAAAUAUCUUGAUUAUAUAUGGUCUAAUGCCACUAAAUUUAUUGUUGUGAAUUAUUUUGAUAAUUAUUGUCUUAUUCGUUGGACUUAGAAUUUUUGAACUUGAGUAUUAUUUUUAAAAUAUGUUGAAUAUUGUUGAUUCAUUUUAUUUGGAAUAUGUGAAUAUGCAUGUUGUAAUAAAUCUUAGAUUUGAUGGAAAAUUGUCAAUGUUGGAGUUAUGUUUUAGUCCUCAUAUUUGCGGCAUGAAAAAGAAUAUGAUUUUUUUUCCGAAGAAACUAAAUUAGUCUAUUUAAAUUUGCAUCAGAGAGAAUCGAACCUCCGACCUCAAGGGGAGUAUACUCCCAGGUCCCAAACCAAUAUCAAUGAAGUGAAUGAACCAACCCAAGUGGGUUAAAAAGAAUAUGAUAUUGAGUAUCUAUUUUGCUUUGAUUGUAUUUCCUUGAGAUGAGACCAAAUAUUGAUAUUGUAUUAAUAUGUGUAAGACAUAUUAUUUUACUGAUUUAAUAGGUGUUUGUGUUUUGAUUUUUAAGAUUGUAUUUUCCUAGUUUGAGCGCCGCCCACCAGAAUCUGCUGCGUCGCAUCACCGUUACAUCCACAGUUUACACGUUUCAACCCGUAUGUAGUCAUCAAUCACUACCAUUCACUAUUGGAGGCUCAUGGUUAAGUAUUGCGGAGAUGGCUGGUGCUCCUUUGAUUUACAAAACGACUCUUCACGAUUCACAAGAUGGAAAUUGCAAUGAGGUGCUGCCCAAUUAUGCUUCAGGCUCGCCUUCCGAUCAACAAAACAAAACUUUACCAGCCACUGAGAGUAAAAAAAAUCGUUUGCACAGAUCCUGUGUAACGACGGCGAAUAAUUUAACUUGAGCCAACUUCCCCAACCUUGUGUGAAGGGAGAUUCAGUCAGCGUUAAAAUUACAGAGGAGGAGUAUCACAGAAGCGUUGAUGACUGCAGGAAUCAUCUGCAUGAUUGAUUAAUCAUGGGAAAAGGAGUCAAGCUUGUUAUAGCGAAAGAACUCACCUUAAAAUUGGGAUCGAUAUGGCAAGGCGUUGCUCCAUGGAAGCUUGUCCUUCUUGGGAAGGGCUUUUUUGAAUUUAGCUUCAGUUUGGCUGAAUAUAAAAGUAGGCAUGUCAACAGAACCCGUACCCGCGGGUAUCCGCCCGAACCCACNNNNNNNNNNNNNNNNNNNNNNNNNNNNNNNNNNNNNNNNNNNNNNNNNNNNNNNNNNNNNNNNNNNNNNNNNNNNNNNNNNNNNNNNNNNNNNUGAUAAUUUUGGUUUGAUAUUUUGAAAUAUCAUUUCAUUUGUAUGUUUAAUGCAUUGAAAUUUUGGUUUGUACUUUAUUAUUUGAAAUUUUUUGUAUUGUAUGUAUGUCAGCAUUCGGGCAAAUUUUGGGUUCGGGUAAGGUUCAACAAGGCAGGGCAAGGUUCGGGGAUACCCGAACCCAUUUGGGUAUACCUGAACUCAUUUGGGACGGGGUUUGGGUUCAAUUUUUCAUCCCCGUCGGGUAAUGGGCGGGAAACGGGUAUUUAUCAAUGAUUCGAGUAUGGGGAACGGGGAAGGUAAAAACCGUCCCCGAUCAGCCCCAUUGCCAUGCCUAUACAAAAGGAAAGCUUGGUCUUUGUGUAAUUGUAACCUAAAGCCUGGGUUGUUGCGGUUGUCAAAUGGAAGCCUGACUUUUUUCCUCACACGCAACGUCAAACGCAUGUGCAAUCAUGGAAUGACAUAUAUGAACUUCCUCAGGAGUACUGGAGACCGAUAACUUUGUUUGAAAUUGCAGGAGGAGUUGGCACACCUUUGAUGUUAGAUGAGGCCACAAAAAAUAGAUCCUUUGGACACUAUGCGAGAGUGUUGGUGGAUAUAGAUUUAUCUAAACGCGCAUUUGAGGCAAUAUUGGUGGAACGAGAGGGCCACGCGUUUUAUGUUGAUGUGGUGUAUGAGAAGCUACCAGAUUAUUGCACCCACUGUCAAUCCAUCGGUCACUCCGUUAAAGCUUGUAACAAGUUGCAACCAAGAUUGGCAAUGAACCGAGAUGAGCGGGCCAGCAAACCAGUGAUGGCUAAACCUCAGACGAAAGCCAUUUACAUUGAGAAAGAUAACACUUCCAAAGUUGCCCGAUCGAUAAAGAAAGAAGCAGAGAUAGCAAGGAAAGACAACAUUGUUGAAGGGAUUGUGGCUCUUAAUAUUUCACUGAAUAGUGAGCCUAUCAUUACACCAGUAAAUAUGGAUGCGGAACAUGUGAACAAUUAUGAUAUUAAUAUUGAUGUUAAUCUUGAUGAUGAGAAUACUAUUGUUAUUCAUGAUUUUGCAGAUGAUGCACUUAUGAAUAAAUUGAGUGGGGAAGAGGCUACUGUUUUGGAUACUACUGACAAUGUUAUUCCUGCAACUCAUUGAGUUCGGGAUAUUUAAGAGAUACUUAGAACAGAGAACUUCCGUUAGUGGUUCAAAAAGACAUUCAAAUUAUUCGACAAGCAUGGGCUGAUGCGGAGAAUUAAGAAUUCACACCUUACGUCUCCAAACACCAACACAAGAAAAAUAACAAAAUAGUUAGAAGUGCAGGGCAACCUUAUAACACUCGUUUUAAGGGUUCCCCUCUGCAAGGUCGUUAUAAAGUUCUCAUGGGAUAAGUAGAUCUCAUAUGUUAUUGUUUGAAUAAUGGUUUUGCUUCUUUUUCCUUUAUGGUAAGGCCUAGUCUCCCCCUUGUACAUAUUUUAUUUUUAUUUAUUUAUAUAUUUAAGAGUUAUAGGUAGAGAAUAGGGACAUCGCGAGAUCCCAACUUAGUUGGUAUGUUUAGUUGUUUCCGGAUUUUUAGAUGCUCUUGAUUCGGUUAAAAAAAAAUGUAGUUUGUGAUUGGAAAAAUUAUUUCAUACAAGUGAAUUUUAUUUAAUAUUAAUCAAACGUAUGUAUCGUUGAUGAUGAUUGAAAUGUUCGAUAAUUAUAUACUCAUUUUUAUAUUUUGAGACCACAUGUUAACAUGUAUGAGUUGAGUGAUGAUUUGAUAAAUUUUACUUUAAAGUAAAUUAUUAUAGUGGCUUCUAUUUUUGAAAGAUUGAUAGUAUACCAAUAUGUGCAAUAACUUGAGAAGUGUCUUAGGAAGUUUAAAUAUUUUGGAAUUAAAAUAUGGAGCAUCCCUUAUGAUGUUUGUGCUACUUGAGCAAAGAUAUUUGAGAGAUACCAUAAAAUUAUAAUAUGGUACAUAUUAUGGAUUUAUUCAUUGUAUUAAAAUAAUAUAAUGAUGUUUAAUAAAACCUUUGAUAGAAAAAAGAAUAUUUUUGCGGAUUAAUUUCUUUAAUGUGGGGUUUUGUCGCUUUAAAUUCUUUCAAGUAGAGACUUGAAUAAAUAAUUUGUAUGGAGAAUUAAUUCUACCAAAUGUGGGGGUGUCGUCACAUGGAAAUUUUCAAGUUGACCUAUACAAUAAAUCUAAACAUAGAUUGAAUUUCUUCUUUUGUGAGAAUGUUGUUGCCUAGAAUUUAUCUAAGUAAACCUAUGAUAAUAUAUCAUGGAUGUAUGUUUGGCAAUAUAUGAUGAAAUAUUGAUUAAGAGACGUUUUAGUCAAUGAAUAAUUUAAUUUUCUCAAACAGUUGUUGAGUGAUGUAUAUAUAUAUAUAUAUAUAUAUAGGGUUGCUAAUUUACAACCAACUAAACACAUUAAGGUGUAAAUUAGCAAUGCACACCUUUUCACUUUGGACAAAAACUUUGACAUUUAGUUAUUUUACACUAGAAAAUUGAGGGUUAGUUAGGUAACUUUUAUUAAAUGUUGUACACUCAUUUGCUAAUUUACACCCCACACGUAAUUAUAAAUAUGUGCAACCUAAAUAAACAACUUAUUUAAACAGUUUUUUCCAAUUUGCAUAGUUUCUCUUUCAAGAAACUUGUUUCAUCAUAUUUUUUUUUUAAAUAAACUGGAGCAUGCCAUAUUUUUCUACUAAUAAAUAAAAAUAAAUAUUAGCAUAUAAGAUGUUGUUGGAUUCGUCUCGAUGAGUAGUUUCAAAAUAUCAAAUUUUUAUAAUUUAUACUAUUAUACAAUUAAAAAUAUUAAUCGUCAAAUUGGAUUGUAUAUAUUUUCUCAAGUUGUCUUUUUUUGAUUUCCUAGGUUGUCUUGUGUUUAUUAUGGUUGUAUAUAUUUAUAAUUGUUUGGGUGUAAAUUACUAAAUGGGUGCACAUCAUUUAAUAAAAUUUACCUAACUAAUCCAAAAUUUCCUAGUGUUAAAUUAGUAAAUAUCAAGGUUUUUUUGCUAAUUAACACCUUAAUGUUUUUAGUUAGUUGUAAAUUAGCAAUCCCCAUAUAUAUAUAUAUAUAUAUAUAUAUAUAUAUAUAUAUAUAUAUAUAUAUAUAUAUAAUGCAUCCUGUGAUAACCCACUGAGCAAGAAACUAAUGGAUGAUAUAUACAUUGAGAGAGAUAGAACUAUGUCCAAUAAAAAAAUUGAAAGUGAUGGUAACCCAACAUAGAUUGUGAAAAUUUCCAAGGCUAUGUUCAUAUUGAUAAGAACAAGUCACUUGUCAAUUUGAGGAGACACUAUCCAUUUUUAUUUUUGAGAAUUCAUCCAUAUGGUGUAGGAUAGUGUAUACUACAGUGUUAGAGGUUAAGUUUAUCUCUUAAUGAAUCUAUAGCUCAUGAAUGAAAGUGGUGUGCUUGACUGUGGUGUACACUUGAUAGAGUCACCUAUAUAUGAGUGUUGAGCUGAGGGCGCCUCCAUAAAAGCUUGGACAUACUUUCUAGAGACACUCAUGAAAUCCAGGUAUAUGUGCAAGGUCAAAAUGCACCACACCGCGUUGAACAACUUUGGACGAGAGAUCAAUGUGAGUAAUGAGAUCACUGAUUCACAUACGGAAAGAGGUUCAUAGAGGUAAAUAUGAAGAACACUUUUUAGUCAUUCUCUAUAUUCUUUUUUAAGGGCGACUAAAUUUUGCUUUUAAACAAUUCCAUUUUAUAAAUAUCAUUUUAUAAAAAUCAUUAUAUAGUACAUUAUUAUUGCAUAAAAUAAGAAAAUGUAAGAAACAUUUUAAGAGGUGCCACAUAGCACAAUGGAGGUUUAGAAGCAAUCUAAACGUUGCUUAUAGAGAUUACAUAGAGAUAUAGAUAAAUAGAUGCCAAUGUAAUAUGUUUUACAUCAUUUUAUUUGUGUUUGGACAAUAUAUAAUACAAAAGUUGUAUGUGCAUUAAUUGUAUGUCACGAAUGGUUCUUUUUUCCCUAUCAUAGAAAUUAAAAAGGUCAAAAAAUUAUAAACUAAAUAUGAGAAAAAAUAAAAGUAACAGUAACAACAGUAGUACAUCAAAAAUGAAAUAGCACAUCAAAAACCAACUAACCACUCUACAAAGUAAGCAAAUACAACCUGCUCAAGAUAUAUCAAACAAAACCCCUAGAAAGCGAAUUUUGUUUACAGUUUGCAAUUUAGAAAG
This 9543-nucleotide long non-coding RNA is filed under the name Trifolium pratense (red clover). Its description in RNAcentral is "long non-coding RNA (TPRA_LNC010287)". Lineage: Eukaryota; Viridiplantae; Streptophyta; Magnoliopsida; Fabales; Fabaceae. The record is from RNAcentral.